GAUGAACGCUGGCGGCGUGCCUAAUACAUGCAAGUCGAGCGAACAGACGAGGAGCUUGCUCCUCUGACGUUAGCGGCGGACGGGUGAGUAACACGUGGAUAACCUACCUAUAAGACUGGGAUAACUUCGGGAAACCGGAGCUAAUACCGGAUAAUAUAUUGAACCGCAUGGUUCAAUAGUGAAAGACGGUUUUGCUGUCACUUAUAGAUGGAUCCGCGCCGCAUUAGCUAGUUGGUAAGGUAACGGCUUACCAAGGCAACGAUGCGUAGCCGACCUGGGAGGGUGAGCGGCCACACUGGAACUGAGACACGGUCCAGACUCCUACGGGAGGCAGCAGUAGGGAAUCUUCCGCAAUGGGCGAAAGCCUGACGGAGCAACGCCGCGUGAGUGAUGAAGGUCUUCGGAUCGUAAAACUCUGUUAUUAGGGAAGAACAAAUGUGUAAGUAACUAUGCACGUCUUGACGGUACCUAAUCAGAAAGCCACGGCUAACUACGUG
RNAcentral lists this ribosomal RNA (497 nucleotides) under uncultured bacterium. RNAcentral describes it as "partial 16S ribosomal RNA". It matches the Rfam family "Bacterial small subunit ribosomal RNA", at positions 28 to 507 of the family's 1533-position model. The record is from RNAcentral.